CCCCUCCUCUCUCUCUCUCUCUCUAUAUAUAUAUAUAUAUAUAUAUAUAUAUAUUUCUUAUCUGUUUUUUUGUUAUUUUAUUUGAUAUUUCUUUUGCUCCAUUCCAUUUCCUUUUCCUUCUUCUCCACAUGAUUCUUUUCCCUCUCACUCUCUCUUUCUCUAGGAUCCUUUUUCCCUCUUACAAUAGGAGCUCUUAAAUUCUACCAGCAACUUCUUCCCUCUCCCGGUGACCUUUCUUUCUCAUCUUCGCGGCUUCGGUUAUCUACAGAACUUAUUAGUAGGGCAAACGGUGAUCGGAACCUAUGCCAUGUCAACACAACCCCUUUUUGCAAUCUUCCCUCAAACCUAUCCUCACUCACGUUACGUGUUCUUAGGGAAGAUAACAAACCAACCACAGCAGCCCUUUUUUGGCAUGUUUGGAUAUGGAGGACCUAUUGCAUCUAUGCAUUUAGGCAUGCUCUUGUUUCUUCGAAGACAAAGAAUUCCAAGAAGAAUGCUUGAUGCAAUGUCUUGAAGUAACACAUCAGAAUAUAUUUUUCUAGUUGAGUUGUUGAAGAACUUUUUAUUUUUCCUUUUUUACUUAAUCAUGCUUUCCUAUUGUCUAAUAAUAUUAAUUUUAAAAGUCAAGAUGUUCAUCCUUUUUGUUGAUUGAUAAUUUAAGUUUCUUCCAAUGAGUUAUGGGUGCAUUACACUUGAUGUGAUUAAAAAUAACCUCAAUACGUUGUCUUCUAAGGUUCCUACACGAGCUACUAUAAUUGGCUACUGCACAAAAUAUCAUAUGCAUCACUAAGGUAUAUAUUCAUACAUAGGCAUAACAACAUUAUUAUUUUUGUGAAAUGAUACUCUUUUAAGUUCUUUUUCUUUCUGUCCCCCAAAUUCAUAUUUAUCUGUAUAAUCUUGUCUACUUUUAAAUAAAUAGAUUUGACAUUAGCAGGAAGGUUGAGUGAAAUCGUUUAAUGAGUACAUAGAAGAAGGAAUUAAGCAGAUAACCUUGAAGAACUAUGAAAGAAAAUUUAUGUUGUUGUAUGUGCUGAUCCCACAUUGAAGAAAUCUGAUAAGGAACCACCCAAGGGUACUAUAAACAUUUAUGGUACAUUUCCCUGUCACCUUUUUGUUUAAAAAUUCAAAAUCCACCACUUAUUGGUGGAACAUUUUCUCAAGACUUUACAAUUUUUUAUUCCUAUUUCAAUUUUUGGUUGCAAACCCCAUUUUAGGUCAUUUCCUUGUUUUUUUUUUUUUUUUCUUUUUAUUGUGAGCAAAGACUAAAAGAACCAUAAUAAUGGUAGUGAACAUAGAAAUGAUAAAAAUAAACAAUAAGCAUCCCACUUACUAUUUCAUUCUUGUUAAAACUACAUGUUUUCUUAAAGCUUAAAUUUUUUAUGUUGAUAAUUAUUUAAUGUUAACUGGUCUUAUGUUUGAAUGUGCUUAACCUUAUAUAAUACUGUCUAGCAAAGAAAAUAUUUAGUUUAAAUGCUAAGCCAAUAUCUACAUAUGUAAUUUUGUCUAACAUAUAUGUUGUAUUUGGGAAGUGGAGUGAGAAAAUGGGAGUGAGGAAAGUUGAAGCUAAAAAAGUUGAAGCUUUGAAAUUUGGCUUCUCAUUCUAAAGGGGAACUAGAGAAGUAAUAGAACUCGACUACAAAAACUAUUGUCAAAUAUUUGUUAGGCUGCUGAGUGUUUGCACUGAUGCCUUUUAAUGUUUUCUCCAAAAUAGUUUUGUCCUACAAACAAUUGGAAUUCUGAAGUUGUUGUUAAUUAGAUUUUCUAUUUCUAUUCUUCAAGUUUUUGAGUCCACUUUCAGCUGUUCCUUUGGUAGUUUUAGUUGGAUUUGGGCUCUAUGGGUUAAGUUUUCCUAGGGUAAGUGUUAUUCUGCAGCAUUAAUCAUGGUUUACGAAGUGAAUUGUUUAGCGAUAUUGUUUUCAGUGCCUUUCUUUGAGUUCUAUGAAUGAAUUUUUCGAUUUAAAGUAUUUGCUUUCAUACCGCUUCAUAAGACUUAAUAUCCAAUGUAAAUGCACUUUGUUUUUCCUUUUCUUUUUUUGUAUCAGCAUGCAUUUUUCUUUCUAUUUUCAUUUAUAUUAUUAUUAUUACUUUAAUAUCUUAUAUUCAAGUAAAUUAUUCUUGUGUCAAAGAGAUACUUCACAAAAAUUGUUCUCCGUUUUCUUUGUUGAUAUUUUUUGUAUUCAUCCCCUUCUAAUUUAGUCAUUUCUCAUACAUGUUUAUUGAUUUAAACAGUCCAUUGGGGCUUUCAUUUAUUGAUUUAACUCAAACUCCAAUUAUGAUGUUGUGGAAUCAUUUCCCUCUGCACUUCAUGUUAAAAGAUGCAACGAUAGGUUAAUGUAUGAUAAUAAUAGAAAACUAUGGGAGCUGCGUAAGGAAGACAUUUUAUGUGAGUUCCUCAGUUUUGCUGCGGAUCAAUUAUCCUUUUUGGAAGUUAGCCACCACUAUAUUAUCUAUUGUAUUGACAAAUACACACACAUUAAGGGGAAAAAAACCAAGAAAAGAUAUUACAAAACAGGCAAAAUCACAAUGAAUGUAAAAUAAGGUGUUCAUAUGAAAAAACAAGUAAACCAAUUGAAAUUGCACAUAUAGAUAUCAACAUUUACACGCACUUCAAAAUUUAGAUGUUGCUUUUCCUCAUUUCAUCAUUAGCCAGACUAAAAAAUUUAGAUGUUCUGAAUUUUAGAGGUCUAUUUGGUUCCUAUAUUAGUCAAAGUAGUGCAAUAGUAUUAUUACCUAUAUUCUUCUUGUUCAGUUCAUAUUUGCUGACCUUUAAAUUAAGGUCAACAUUGAGUUCCUUUCAUUGUUGCAUAUUUGUACAUUCUACACACAGGGAGUUGGCAUUCUGAUCUCUGACUUGGUUGGAACUAUUAAUGGAUCCUCAUUAUCUGUGUAACAAUGUUCAAAUUAAUAUCUAUGCUUUAGCUUUCUACUUUAUUUUACUGAACCAUAGAAUUUCCACCUUUAUCUAAGAACCUUUUUUCUCCUGAGCACUUAAUAACUAGUUUUUAGGAUUUUAUAAAUUAAGCAAUUUAUUUGUCACAUGUUCUAAAACAUUGUUAAUUUUAAAGAAAUGCUCAAUACUCCCUGCUAUUUGUUAUGUGGGAUGAACUUUUUUCUCUUUAGGUGAAAGGAACUGGUAGAAGAUUAUUCACUCAAUUGUAUUUGUGUUGUCAGCAUAUUAUGAUAUGAUGAAGCUCUUUCACUUUAUGUUUCUAUUCAAAAUUUUAAGGAGCACAAGGACCACAACUAUUGUGGUUUGGAUUAUUGGUAGGUCCAUGGUAGGAGCCGCAUUUGAUGAUUAUUAUCUUCUUAGGGACAUAUUAAAUGUUUUAUAUGAGAAGUCUACUUGCUAUUGAUCUAUUGUGAUAUCUAAAUAUCCACAGUUAUAGUCUUUAGUAAACUUUUAAUGCUUUUAUUAUGUGAUUACUGUAUUUAACAUUAUAUUGGUUUUGUUAUAAUUUAGCAGUUUUUUU
Long non-coding RNA from Ziziphus jujuba (common jujube), 3470 nucleotides. RefSeq lists it as uncharacterized. The record is from RefSeq and is a predicted model, not a curated record. The transcript has 3 exons. NCBI's taxonomy places the organism in Eukaryota, Viridiplantae, Streptophyta, Magnoliopsida, Rosales, Rhamnaceae.